ACGGAAGGCAGCAGUGGGGAAUAUUGCACAAUGGGCGAAAGCCUGAUGCAGCGACGCCGCGUGAGUGAUGAAGUAUUUCGGUAUGUAAAGCUCUAUCAGCAGGGAAGAUAAUGACGGUACCUGACUAAGAAGCACCGGCUAAAUACGUGCCAGCAGCCGCGGUAAUACGUACGGUGCAAGCGUUAUCCGGAUUUACUGGGUGUAAAGGGAGCGCAGGCGGUACGGCAAGUCUGAUGUGAAAGCCCGGGGCUCAACCCCGGUACUGCAUUGGAAACUGUCGAACUAGAGUGUCGGAGGGGUAAGUGGAAUUCCUAGUGUAGCGGUGAAAUGCGUAGAUAUUAGGAGGAACACCAGUGGCGAAGGCGACUUACUGGACGAUAACUGACGCUGAGGCUCGAAAGCGUGGGGAGCAAACAGGAUUAGAUACCCUGGUA
This 434-nucleotide ribosomal RNA is filed under the name uncultured Roseburia sp. RNAcentral describes it as "partial 16S ribosomal RNA". It matches the Rfam family "Bacterial small subunit ribosomal RNA", at positions 341 to 792 of the family's 1533-position model. Lineage: Bacteria; Bacillati; Bacillota; Clostridia; Lachnospirales; Lachnospiraceae. The record is from RNAcentral.